UAACCUGCGUAAGGCUGAUAAAUAUUAGUAUAUCAUCAAGAAAGAAGCAGAGUCUUGACCUUAAAUGUUCAAAAAUAACAAUGAAUCCCAGCAACUGUAGUGAAAAAUAAGAAAAAAGAAAAUCCUGAACAGAUUUUAAUUCUUAAAAAUAUCCAUUUUUCCAAAGUGUGUGUGUAUAUAUAUAUAGAUCAUUUUUCUAUUGAACCAAACAGAAUCUAAAUGUUAAGUACUGGACCAAUGCUUCAAGCUUCUUUUGGGAAUCAAAGCAUAAAAACUAAAGAUCAAAACUAAGCAACUACAAUCAUCAAGAACGUAAAAGAUAAUGGCAAGAAGAUAUAACGUGGUUCGGCCACAAGAAGCCUACAUCCACGGUUGAAACAGCACUGCUCUAAACUUUUAUUUAGAAUGAAAGUUGAUUACAACAGAUGACGAGAUUACAGAGAUAUUAACUCCUCAUAUAAGCUCUAUAUCUCCCUCCAAGAAUCUCUUAUACACUCAUGUGUCUAAUGUAACCUUUUGCUGCCCUUUUAUAACACCUCAGCUACGAAAGAAGAGUGCCAACUGUUAUUCUUUAACUAACAGAUUUAACAGCCAAAAAAGAACUCAUGCCAACUCAGCAUGCCACCUCAUUCAGUUUAACGGAAUAUAACUAUUUGCUGGCUUCACAAAUCUCCACCUAGUUUUAUUCUGUUAAAGCUUCUUUCAGUCACUGAAUCAUCUAUUGCAAUUUGAUCUAUUGAUUAACCAUACCAAUCAAAUUCAAAGCAGCUUUGAACUUGACUGAUGGCAGAGGCUUCGUAAGCAUGUCUGCAGGGUUACAUUUUGAUGCAAUCUUAAUUACAUUUACAACUUCUUGAGCAAUCUCAUCUCUGAUGAAGUGUAACCUUAUAUCCACAUGUUUUGUCCUCUCAUGGUAUUUUGGGUUCUUGCUUAACUGAAUGGCACUAGAGCUAUCACAGCCGAUAUUGACUGAUCCUUGCUCCAGUCCUAAUUUUGUAACUAGCCCUUUUAACCAUAUUGCUUCUUUCACUGCUUCUGAGAGUGCUAUAUACUCUGCCUCAGUAAUUGACAAAGCAACUAUUGACUGUAAAGAAGCCUUCCAGCUGACUGCUCCACCACACAAAGUGUAAACAUAUCCAGUGAUUGACCUCAUUUUAUCUAGAUCACCUGCAAAUUCUGAAUCAACAUAUCCUUGAACUUGAUCUGAGCUCUUGUCAACCCUUCCAUAUACUAUACCAUGACCACCUGUACCCUUUAGAUACCUCAACAUCCACUUAGCUGCAUGCCAAUGAUGUUUUCCAGGAUUUGACAUGAAUCUGCUCAGUACUCCAAUUCCAUAAGCCAAAUCAGGUUUGGUGCAGACCAUGGCAUAUAUAAUACAGCCAACCACACUUGAGUAUGGUAUAUUCUUCAUGUGUUCAACCUCUUCAUAUUCUUUUGGCUCUUCCUGUUUUGAGAGUCUGAACUGAGCACCCAGAGGAGUUAAGACUGGUUUGGAUUCUUUCAUUCCAAAUCUACUGAGAACCUUCUCCACAUAUCCUGUCUGAGACAAGAAAAGAGUUUUAGAAACUCUAUCUCUGAUUAUGUCCAUUCCCAAUAUUUUGGUGGCUGGACCUAGAUCCUUCAUUUCGAACUCAGAGCUCAAUUCAUCUUUAAGGCACUCCAGCUCUUCUCUUUGUUUACAUGCCAGGAGCAUGUCAUCCACAUAGAGUAGAAGGUAGAUAAAAUUUCCAGAUGGUAGAGUUUUGAAAUACACACAACUAUCAUAUUUACUUCUGCUGUAGCCAUGUGUGAUCAUAAAUUCAUCAAAUUUCAAAUACCAUUGCCUAGGUGACUACUUCAAUCCAUAUAGACUUUUAUUUAGUAAACAGGCCAUGUCCUCUGAUCUAUCCUUAACAAAACCCUCUAGCUGUUCCAUUAGUAUCUUCUCACUGAGAUCUCCAUGUAAAAAGGCAAUCUUCACUUCCAUUUGAUCCAACUCCAAGUCAUUGUAAGCUGUAAUUGACAACAAGAUUCUUAUUGAGCUAUGUUUGACCACAGGGAAGAACACUUCAUUAAAAUCCACUCAUUCUCUUUGGGUGAACCCCUUUGCUACAAGUCUGGCCUUGUACCUGGCUGGUUCAACUUCUGAGACUCCUUCCUUUAUCUUAUAUAUCCAUUUACAGCCUACUAGCUUCUGGUCAACUGGUUUCUUUACUAAAGUCCACGUCUUAUUCUUUUUAAGUGAGGCCAUUUCUUCUUCCAUGGCAGCUACCCACUUCCUUUUAUCCUUGGUUCUCAUAGCUUGCUUGUAGGUUGCUGGUUCCUCACUUGUUUCAGCUUCAGCUACUGCCAAAGCAUAGGAUAUAAGAUCUGCAACUCCAUAUCUUUUAGGCAUUUUAAUGGUUCUUCUUACUCUAUCCAUUGCUAGCUGAUAUCCUUCCAGUUCAGAAUGUGUUUGCUUUUGAUGCUGUUUUGCUUCUUUUGGUGACUCCACCUCCAGCUCAACAACUCCCUUUUCUUCAGAGCUUGUAUUAGUUAUUUUAGUCUCAACUCUUGACUAUGUCAGGGCUUCUUCAUAAAAAAAUAACAUCCCUGCUAAUAAAGGUUCUGGUGGGUUUCCCAUUUAUGCUCCAUAUUUUGUACCCUUUAAUGCCCUCUGGGUACCCAAUAAAAUAACCUUUCACAGCCCUUGGUUUCAGCUUGCCCUGGUUAAUGUGCGCAUAAGCAGGGCAACCAAAGACUUUUAGAUUGCUGAGAUCAGGUGGCUUCCCAGACCAGACUUCCUAAGGUGUUUUGAACUCCAGAGCUGAUGAUGGACUUCUGUUAAUGAGAUAUGCAGCUGUAACAGCAGCUUCAGCCCAAAAAUGUUUGGAGAGAUUUGAGCUCAACAACAUGCAUCUGACCUUUUCAAUCAAGGUCAUAUUCAUCCUUUCAGCAAGUCCAUUUUGCUGAGGUGUAUGCCUUACUGUCUUGUGCCUUGCAAUGCCCAGCCUUUUACAGAACUCAUCAAAUUCAUUACUGCAGUAUUCUAGCCUAUUAUCAGUUCUGAGCCUUUUCACUUUCCUCCCUAUUUGAUUCUCCAUUAGAGCUAUCCAUUCCUUGAACUUAUCUAGGGCUUCACUUUUAUGCUUCAAAAUGUAAACCCAAAGCUUUCUUGAGUAGUCAUCUAUGAAGGUGAUAAAAUAUCUAGCUCCACUAUGAGAUGGAACUUGGGAGGGUCCCCAAAUGUCAUAAUGGAUGUAGUCUAGGGUCUGUUUAGUUUCAUGCUUGCCUGUGUUAAAGUUAAGUCUGGUGGCUUUACCAAACACACAUUUUUCACAGAAUUCCAACUGAGAAAUCUGAUCAUGACCAAACAAACCUUGUUUCUCCUGCUCUUUCAUACCCUUCUGACUCAUAUGUCCAAGUCUCAUGUGCCAGAGCUUGGUUUUAUCACUACUUCUGUUGGCAUUUACUCCAAGCUAAGGCACUGACCCAACUAACACAUACAAACCAUUUCUUCUAACACCCUUCAUUAUGACUUCACCUUUAUUUAAGACCUCAAUUUUCCCAUUUUCAGCCUUAAUGCUACAACCCAUUUUAUCCAUCAUCCCAAGAGAAAUCAGGUUCCUUUUUAGUUCAGGGACAUACCUUACUUGUUUAAGCUCUCUGGUUUCUUCAUCAAACAUUUGAAUGUUGAUAGUUCCCAUUCUAGUGACUUUGCAAGCAAGGUUGUUUCCCAGCAGAACUUUUCCACCAUCUAUGUUCUCGAAGGUCUUGAAGAAUUCUUUAUUUGGGCACAUGUGAAAGGAACAUCCAAAAUCAAGAAUCCAUUCAGCUGUGGGUUGUUUUUCUGCAGCAAUGAGGACAUCUGCACCUUCAGCAUCCUCUUCAUCUUCAGAUGCAACUGCUGUUUUUCCAUUUGUCUCCUUUUGCAGCUUUUCAAGUUUCUUCUUCUCGAAACAGUCCUUGAUGUAAUGUCCUUCCCUUUGACAGAAGUAGCAUUUCCUUUUCUUCUUUUUCUUGUUAUUUUUUUCUUUCUGAUUUUUGUUCUUCUUGUCUUUGUUUACUUUCUUUUCUGAUUUUGCUUUGACAAAUCCAUCUCCUGUAGCUUGAUCCUUGAAAUCUAAUAUUUUCUUUAGGUCUUUAGAUUCGAGAGCAUUCUUGACAUCCUUCAAUGUGAGGGUCUGUCUUCCAUAGAGCAAGGUGUCCACGAAAUGCUCAUAGGAGUCAGGCAGUGAGCUCAACAAAAUAAGAGCUCUAUCUUCAUCUUCAAGCAUGACAUUAACGUUUUCAAGAUCGAGUAUCAAUUUAUUGAACUCAUCAAGGUGGUCUUUCAUGGCUGUCCCUUCUUUCAUUGAAAACAUGUAGAGCUUCCUCUUCAUUUACAAUCUUUUAGACAAAGAUUUCUUCAAGAAGAGUUCUUCCAGUUUAGCCCACAAACUAGAGGCUGUCCUCUCUUUGGCUACUUCUCUCAGCACUUCAUCAGACAAGUGUAGAAUGAUAGUCCUGUGAGCUUUGUUGUUUAUAGUUCUUGAGUCUCCACCCAAACUUGAAGAUCCUCCUUCUUUUUCCCUUUUGGACUUUGACUAUUCCCUGGUUUCUUCAUCAAACAUUUGAAUGUUGAUAGUUCCCAUUCUAGUGACUUUGCAAGCAAGGUUGUUUCCCAGCAGAACUUUUCCACCAUCUAUGUUCUCGAAGGUCUUGAAGAAUUCUUUAUUUGGGCACAUGUGAAAGGAACAUCCAAAAUCAAGAAUCCAUUCAGCUGUGGGUUGUUUUUCUGCAGCAAUGAGGACAUCUGCACCUUCAGCAUCCUCUUCAUCUUCAGAUGCAACUGCUGUUUUUCCAUUUGUCUCCUUUUGCAGCUUUUCAAGUUUCUUCUUCUCGAAACAGUCCUUGAUGUAAUGUCCUUCCCUUUGACAGAAGUAGCAUUUCCUUUUCUUCUUUUUCUUGUUAUUUUUUUCUUUCUGAUUUUUGUUCUUCUUGUCUUUGUUUACUUUCUUUUCUGAUUUUGCUUUGACAAAUCCAUCUCCUGUAGCUUGAUCCUUGAAAUCUAAUAUUUUCUUUAGGUCUUUAGAUUCGAGAGCAUUCUUGACAUCCUUCAAUGUGAGGGUCUGUCUUCCAUAGAGCAAGGUGUCCACGAAAUGCUCAUAGGAGUCAGGCAGUGAGCUCAACAAAAUAAGAGCUCUAUCUUCAUCUUCAAGCAUGACAUUAACGUUUUCAAGAUCGAGUAUCAAUUUAUUGAACUCAUCAAGGUGGUCUUUCAUGGCUGUCCCUUCUUUCAUUGAAAACAUGUAGAGCUUCCUCUUCAUUUACAAUCUUUUAGACAAAGAUUUCUUCAAGAAGAGUUCUUCCAGUUUAGCCCACAAACUAGAGGCUGUCCUCUCUUUGGCUACUUCUCUCAGCACUUCAUCAGACAAGUGUAGAAUGAUAGUCCUGUGAGCUUUGUUGUUUAUAGUUCUUGAGUCUCCACCCAAACUUGAAGAUCCUCCUUCUUUUUCCCUUUUGGACUUUGACUAUUCCUCAUCAUCGAGGGCACUAUCCAAGCCCUGUUGAAUCAGAAUGGCUCUCAUCUUAAGACUCCACAAGUAGAAGUCAUUCUCUCCAUUGAAUUUUUCAAGAUCGAAUCUUGUGCUGCCCAUUAUGCCAGAUCAAGAACAGAGUGUCCUUCUGGCUCUGAUACCAACUUGUUAAGUACUGGACUAAUGCUUCAAGCUUCUUUUGGGAAUCAAAGCAUAAAAACUAAAGAUCAAAACUAAGCAGCUACAAUCAUCAAGAACAUAAAAGAUAAUGGCAAGAAGAUGUAACAUGGUUCGGCCACAAGAAGCCUACAUCCACGGUUGAAACAGCACUGCUCUAAACUUUUAUUUAGAAUGAAAGUUGAUUACAACAGAUGACGAGAUUACAGAGAUAUUAACUCCUUAUAUAAGCUCUAUAUCUCCCUCCAAGAAUCUCUUAUACACUCAUGUGUCUAAUGUAUCCUUUUGCUGCCCUUUUAUAACACCUCAUCUACGAAAGAAGAGUGCCAACUGUUAUUCUUUAACUAACAGAUUUAACAACCAAAAAAGAACUCAUGCCAACUCAGCAUGCCACCUCAUUCAGUUUAACGGAAUAUAACUACUUGCUGGCUUCACACUAAAGAGUGAAAAAUAGAAGUGUAAAAUCUUUUGAGUAUUGAACACUAAAGAUUAAUUCAUACUUAAAACAAAAGUCAAUCAAAUCAAAUUCAAUAAAUAUUAUAGAAUCAAAGAAAAGAAAAC
RNAcentral lists this long non-coding RNA (6218 nucleotides) under Citrus sinensis (sweet orange). RNAcentral describes it as "long non-coding RNA (CSIN_LNC003155)". Lineage: Eukaryota; Viridiplantae; Streptophyta; Magnoliopsida; Sapindales; Rutaceae. The record is from RNAcentral.